UCCUCUGUAGUUCAGUCGGUAGGACGGCGGACUGUUAAUCCGUAUGUCACUGGUUCGAGUCCAGUCAGAGGAGCCA
RNAcentral lists this transfer RNA (76 nucleotides) under Escherichia coli. Its description in RNAcentral is "tRNA-Asn". It matches the Rfam family "tRNA". From Rfam's summary of the family: Transfer RNA (tRNA) molecules are approximately 80 nucleotides in length. Their secondary structure includes four short double-helical elements and three loops (D, anti-codon, and T loops). The record is from RNAcentral. RNAcentral also lists the same sequence under 1 other name. Lineage: Bacteria; Pseudomonadati; Pseudomonadota; Gammaproteobacteria; Enterobacterales; Enterobacteriaceae.